UGGUGGAGUGAUUUGUCUGGUUGAUUCCGUUAACGAACGAGACCUCAGCCUGCUAAAUAGUCAUAUCAUUGUUUCAAUGGUGUAGCUUCUUAGAGGGACAUUUCGGGGUUACCGAAAGGAAGUUUGAGGCAAUAACA
Molecule: ribosomal RNA, 137 nt
Filed under: uncultured eukaryote
Lineage: Eukaryota
Description: partial 18S ribosomal RNA
Rfam family: Eukaryotic small subunit ribosomal RNA
Source: RNAcentral